Molecule: long non-coding RNA, 511 nt
Organism: Oncorhynchus nerka (sockeye salmon)
Lineage: Eukaryota; Metazoa; Chordata; Actinopteri; Salmoniformes; Salmonidae
Exons: 3
Source: RefSeq, a predicted model, not a curated record
ACCUCACAGUGAAAUGCUGACUGACCAGCCCUUAACCAACAGGUGUAGAUAGACCUCACAGUGAAAUGCUGACUGACCAGCCAUUAACCAACAGGUGUAGAUAGACCUCACAGUGAAAUGCUGACUGACCAGCCCUUAACCAACAGGUGUAGAUAGACCUCACAGUGAAAUGCAGACUGACCAGCCCUUAACCAACAGGUGUAGAUAGACCUCACAGUGAAAUACUGACUGACCAGCCCUUAACCAACAGGUGUAGAUAGACCUCACAGUGAAAUACUGACUGACCAGCCCUUAACCAACAGGUGUAGAUAGACCUCACAGUGAAAUGCAGACUGACCAGCCCUUAACCAACAGGUGUAGAUAGACCUCACAGUGAAAUGCUGACUGACCAGCCCUUAACCAACAGGUGUAGAUAGACCUCACAGUGAAAUGCUGACUGACCAGCCCUUAACCAACAGGUGUAGAUAGACCUUACAGUGAAAUGCUGACUGACCAGCCCUUAACCAACAGG